AGUUUUUCUCUGUUCCUCCUGGUUUUGAGGAUUGACAGUUUUGCUUGGCCCAGUAGAUAAUUUCCCAGCACACACUUGUUUCUCUGGGAUAGAUAGAUAGAUAGAUAGAUA
Polypterus senegalus (gray bichir) is the source of this 111-nucleotide long non-coding RNA. RefSeq lists it as uncharacterized. The transcript is spliced from 3 exons. Lineage: Eukaryota; Metazoa; Chordata; Cladistia; Polypteriformes; Polypteridae. The record is from RefSeq and is a predicted model, not a curated record.